RNAcentral lists this ribosomal RNA (643 nucleotides) under Escherichia coli. RNAcentral describes it as "partial 23S ribosomal RNA". It matches the Rfam family "Bacterial large subunit ribosomal RNA", at positions 2156 to 2798 of the family's 2925-position model. Lineage: Bacteria; Pseudomonadati; Pseudomonadota; Gammaproteobacteria; Enterobacterales; Enterobacteriaceae. The record is from RNAcentral.
UUUGAAGUGUGGACGCCAGUCUGCAUGGAGCCGACCUUGAAAUACCACCCUUUAAUGUUUGAUGUUCUAACGUGGACCCGUGAUCCGGGUUGCGGACAGUGUCUGGUGGGUAGUUUGACUGGGGCGGUCUCCUCCUAAAGAGUAACGGAGGAGCACGAAGGUUGGCUAAUCCUGGUCGGACAUCAGGAGGUUAGUGCAAUGGCAUAAGCCAGCUUGACUGCGAGCGUGACGGCGCGAGCAGGUGCGAAAGCAGGUCAUAGUGAUCCGGUGGUUCUGAAUGGAAGGGCCAUCGCUCAACGGAUAAAAGGUACUCCGGGGAUAACAGGCUGAUACCGCCCAAGAGUUCAUAUCGACGGCGGUGUUUGGCACCUCGAUGUCGGCUCAUCACAUCCUGGGGCUGAAGUAGGUCCCAAGGGUAUGGCUGUUCGCCAUUUAAAGUGGUACGCGAGCUGGGUUUAGAACGUCGUGAGACAGUUCGGUCCCUAUCUGCCGUGGGCGCUGGAGAACUGAGGGGGGCUGCUCCUAGUACGAGAGGACCGGAGUGGACGCAUCACUGGUGUUCGGGUUGUCAUGCCAAUGGCACUGCCCGGUAGCUAAAUGCGGAAGAGAUAAGUGCUGAAAGCAUCUAAGCACGAAACUUGCC